Molecule: unclassified non-coding RNA, 757 nt
Filed under: Hevea brasiliensis (rubber tree)
Lineage: Eukaryota; Viridiplantae; Streptophyta; Magnoliopsida; Malpighiales; Euphorbiaceae
Source: RNAcentral
AGGAAGGGAAAAGAAAAAAUAAUUAGAAAGGGAAAAUAGACACAAAAAUAGAAAAAAAAAGCAAUUAAUAUUAGGGUAGUGUACAGAGAAGAGCAGAAGAUCCUUCUGAGCUAGAAAGAGAGAGACUUAAAGUAUGGAACACUGGUUCAGUCACCAUUAUUAACAAGAGUACGCACGUUUGUAAACCAAGCGAUGAAUUAAAGCUGCUCUCACAAGUACAUAGGUUAACUUCAGUUUCCUAAACACCUAUGAUGGGAUCUUUCUCCACCCUUUCUGCAUAGUUUCUUGCCUGUCAGGACUCCAUAUAUUCAAACACAGUGUUCCAACCCUUCCAAUAAAUUUUGUAAAUCUUAUAAGUAUUCAUUUAAAAGUAUUUCUAGGAACUCUUUUAAAUUCCAAGUUUAAAGCAUUUUGUCAAAAAAUUUGAAAUUGUAUCAAGUAUUCAAUGGAUGCUAAUAUUCCAAGUUUUUCUUUGGUGUUUUGAUAGGAAUAUUUGAAUACUUAGGAGGUUGUGAAGAAUCAAAGUGACUAAUUUAGAUUGGUGUUGUGUCAAUUCUUCCACAGCCAAAUUUUUAUUUUGGAGGUGCCGCUUAAAAGUUUCAAACUCUCAUUCUUCCUUGAAUUUGAAUAUUUGUUCACAACAAUUGCAUUUUACUUUAACUUCAUUUUGUUCAGCAAAAUGUACUUCCACUAUCUGUGGAACUUUAGGGACUUGUCCUAUUAAUGUGUUGGCAUUUCAUCUUCCUAUGCAUCCAAG